AUGAAUCUUGAUGAAACUGAAGAUUAUCUUCCUUUACCUAGAAGGCGUUCUAAGAAUUCGGAGUUUCUAGAUCUUGAUGAUGAAAUUGAUGAAAGUGGGAUUGAAAGAAAUAAAAACCUAGAUGUUUCUAAACCCACUAUUUUGGAUCUCAAGGAAUUUAAUUAUGAAAAUUUCUCUUUGAUUGGUUGUAUUUCCUUGUUGCAAUCCGUGCUAGAUUCUCCUCAUGCUUAUAGUCAAAAUAAGGCCUUUACCGAACACAUUGUUGAUGCCUUGAUGCAAUCUUAUGAAGAAAAACUUGAGUUGAAAGUUUCUAUCCCUAGAAAACUCUAUGAUGAGUGGGAAAAUACUAUUAAAAUUAAAAUUAAAAAUUAUGAUUUUCAUGCUUUGUGUGAUUUGGGUGCUAGUGUCUCUACUAUUCCCAAAGCUUUGUGUGAUUUGCUAGAUUUCCAUGAUUUUGAUGAUUGCUCUCUAAACUUGCAUCUUGUGGAUUCCACUAUUAAAAAACCGAUGGGAAGAAUUAAUGAUGUUCUUAAUGUUGCAAAUAGGAAUUAUGUGCCCGUAGAUUUUAUCGUUCUUGAUAUAGAUUGCAAUCCUUCAUGUCCUAUUAUUCUUGGUAGACCUUUCCUUAGAACGAUUGGUGCAAUUAUUGAUAUGAAGGAAGGGAAUAUUAGAUUCCAAUUUCCCUUAAAGAAGGGCAUGGAAUACUUCCCUAGAAAGAAAAUAAAAUUACCAUAUGAAUCUAUCAUGAGAGCCACUUAUGGAUUGCCUUCCAAAGAUGGCAAUACCUAG
This 789-nucleotide ribosomal RNA is filed under the name Triticum aestivum (bread wheat). RNAcentral describes it as "partial small subunit ribosomal RNA". Lineage: Eukaryota; Viridiplantae; Streptophyta; Magnoliopsida; Poales; Poaceae. The record is from RNAcentral.